This 772-nucleotide ribosomal RNA is filed under the name uncultured Neocallimastigales. RNAcentral describes it as "partial large subunit ribosomal RNA". It matches the Rfam family "Eukaryotic large subunit ribosomal RNA", at positions 24 to 628 of the family's 3401-position model. The record is from RNAcentral. Lineage: Eukaryota; Fungi; Neocallimastigomycota; Neocallimastigomycetes; Neocallimastigales.
GUAGUCUCGCACAGAUGCAUAUCAAUAAGCGGAGGAAAAGAAACUAACAAGGAUUCCCUCAGUAACGGCGAGUGAAGCGGGAAGAGCUCAAAUUUGAAAUCUUGAAAGGUCACCUUUCACGAAUUGUAGUUUAAAGAAGUGUUUUCUGUUACGAUCGUAAUAUAAGUUCUUUGGAAUAGGACAUCACAGAGGGUGAGAAUCCCGUCUAUGAUUGCGAUUUGUAGCUUUGUGAUACACUUUCAAAGAGUCGGGUUGUUUGGGAAUGCAGUCCAAAAUGGGAUGGUAAAUUUCUUCUAAGGCUAAAUAUUGGCGAGAGACCGAUAGCGAACAAGUACCGUGAGGGAAAGAUGAAAAGAACUUUGAAAAGAGAGUUAAACAGUACGUGAAGUUGUCAAAAGGGAAGCGUUUAACACCAGUGUUGUUUUCUGAAAAUCAACCUCUGUUAGCUUUAUGCAUGUUUGUUUAGACCUAAUCAGCUAUCUUGCAUGUUCUAUUGUUUGCAGUGGUGCACUUUUCAGUUUACAGGUCAACAUCAGUUUUUUUUACCGUAAAAAAGUUAAAGAAAGGUAGCUCAUGGCUCCGGUCGUGAGUGUUAUAGUCUUUUUCCUAUGCGGUAGGAGAGACUGAGGUCUGCAGUGUAGGCUAUUUGGCUAGAUACUCAGGUGCUAUGUGAUACCAUUUCAUAAACAACUUGUUGAUUAUGUUUUGUCUAUUGCAUACUCGCUUGUACUAUCAUACCUACGCUUAGGAUGUUGAGUCGUAGAGCACGCAG